UACAGAGGUGGCAAGCGUUGUUCGGAAUUACUGGGCGUAAAGGGCGCGUAGGCGGUCUUUUAAGUUCCGUGUGAAAUCCCUCGGCUCAACUGGGGAACUGCACGGGAAACUGGAAGGCUUGAGUUCGGGAGAGGGAAGCGGAAUUCCGGGUGUAGCGGUGAAAUGCGUAGAUAUCUGGAGGAAUACCGGUGGCGAAGGCGGCAUCCUGGACCAUUACUGACGCUGAGGCGCGAAAGCUAGGGGAGCAAACGGG
RNAcentral lists this ribosomal RNA (253 nucleotides) under uncultured bacterium. Its description in RNAcentral is "partial 16S ribosomal RNA". It matches the Rfam family "Bacterial small subunit ribosomal RNA", at positions 524 to 776 of the family's 1533-position model. The record is from RNAcentral.